Molecule: long non-coding RNA, 204 nt
Filed under: Hordeum vulgare
Lineage: Eukaryota; Viridiplantae; Streptophyta; Magnoliopsida; Poales; Poaceae
Description: long non-coding RNA (HVUL_LNC014060)
Source: RNAcentral
AGAGGGUGGGCGUAUCUAACAUUCAAGGUAGGUAUGUUGGAUGGCAGUAACUUAAGACAUAUCUUGCGAUUAACCACGUAAAAUUUGUCUUUAUUGUAUAAUAUGGUAACAACACUUUAGGACAUAUGACAGCAGUAUUUUAUGCUGCCUCGUCCACCUCACGCCCUCACACCAUUUCUAUGAUAACUAUAAGCUUGAGUGCUC